This 476-nucleotide ribosomal RNA is filed under the name uncultured bacterium. RNAcentral describes it as "SSU rRNA". It matches the Rfam family "Bacterial small subunit ribosomal RNA", at positions 26 to 518 of the family's 1533-position model. The record is from RNAcentral.
AGGACGAACGCUGGCGGCGUGCUUAACACAUGCAAGUCGAGCGGAAAGGCCCUUCGGGGUACUCGAGCGGCGAACGGGUGAGUAACACGUGAGCAACCUGCCCUUAGCUCCGGGAUAGCUCCGGGAAACCGGAAUUAAUACCGGAUAUGACCUAGGCCGACAUCGGCUGUGGGUGGAAAGUUUUUCGGCUGGGGAUGGACUCGCGGCCUAUCAGCUUGUUGGUGGGGUAAUGGCCUACCAAGGCGACGACGGGUAGCCGGCCUGAGAGGGCGACCGGCCACACUGGGACUGAGACACGGCCCAGACUCCUACGGGAGGCAGCAGUGGGGAAUCUUGCGCAAUGGGCGAAAGCCUGACGCAGCGACGCCGCGUGGGGGAUGAAGGCCUUCGGGUUCGUAAACCCCUUUCAGCAGGGACGAAGCGAAAGUGACGGUACCUGCAGAAGAAGCGCCGGCUAACUACGUGCCAGCAGCCGC